AGCCCUCUGUAUCCGUGCAGAGAUUUCGUCACAGAUCAACCCAUUGGGGCCGAUGGCACUUCCCAAAUAAGUGAAGCG
Molecule: microRNA precursor, 78 nt
Filed under: Trichobilharzia regenti
Lineage: Eukaryota; Metazoa; Platyhelminthes; Trematoda; Strigeidida; Schistosomatidae
Description: mir-3492 microRNA precursor family
Rfam family: mir-3492 microRNA precursor family
Source: Rfam by way of RNAcentral